GAGCAAGGGCGUCCAAUUAAAAAAAUGGCGCAAAUUGCAUUGAAGGUUGGCGAUAAUAAAAAGCGAUUCUCCGUGCCUGUCAAAUUUUUGGUUUUGAUUUUGGCCUCGAACAAGUCGCAACAUU
Molecule: small nucleolar RNA, 124 nt
Organism: Malus domestica (apple)
Lineage: Eukaryota; Viridiplantae; Streptophyta; Magnoliopsida; Rosales; Rosaceae
Source: RefSeq, a predicted model, not a curated record